GCCAGGUGUGGUGGUGAACACCUGUAAUUCCAGUGUUUUGGGAGGCUGAGGCAGGAGGAUCGUGAAUUCAAAGCUAGCCUCAGCAAAAAGUGAGGCACUAAGCAACCCAGCGAGACCCUGUUUCUA
This 126-nucleotide small RNA is filed under the name Marmota monax (woodchuck). The record is from RNAcentral. Lineage: Eukaryota; Metazoa; Chordata; Mammalia; Rodentia; Sciuridae.